RNAcentral lists this ribosomal RNA (1324 nucleotides) under metagenome. Its description in RNAcentral is "bacterial LSU rRNA". It matches the Rfam family "Bacterial large subunit ribosomal RNA", at positions 1561 to 2925 of the family's 2925-position model. The record is from RNAcentral.
AGUGGAUGGGGAGCAACCUAGUUGUGCGUGUGUAAAGGUAGUGCCAAGAAAAGCGAUGAUCAUGUUGAAAAUCAAUUCCCGGUACCCGAAACCGACACAGGUGGGCAAGUAGAGAAUACUAAGGGGCGCGAGGUAACUCUCUCCAAGGAACUCGGCAAAAUGACCCCGUAACUUAGGGAGAAGGGGUGCCACCGAGAGGUGGUCGCAGUGAAGAGGCCCAGGCGACUGUUUAGCAAAAACAUAGGUCUCUGCAAACUCGAAAGAGGAGGUAUAGGGGCUGACGCCUGCCCAGUGCCGGAAGGUUAAAGAAGUUGGUCAGUCUUAGGAUGAAGCUAGCGACUGAAGCCCCGGUGAACGGCGGCCGUAACUAUAACGGUCCUAAGGUAGCGAAAUUCCUUGUCGGGUAAGUUCCGACCCGCACGAAAGGCGUAACGAUCUGGGCGCUGUCUCGGAGAGAGGCUCGGCGAAAUAGGAUUGUCUGUGAAGAUACGGACUACCUGCAUUUGGACAGAAAGACCCUAUGAAGCUUUACUAUAGCUUGGAAUUGUGUUCGGGCUUCCUGUGCGCAGGAUAGGUGGGAGGCGUAGAAGGUAUUCUUGUGGGGAUACUGGAGCCAACGGUGAGAUACCACUCUCAGGAGGCUAGAAUUCUAACUUAAUUAAGGACAGUUUCAGGUGGGUAGUUUGACUGGGGCGGUCGCCUCCAAAAAGGUAACGGAGGCGUACAAAGGUUCCCUCAGACUGGUUGGAAAUCAGUCGAAGAGUGCAAAGGCAGAAGGGAGCUUGACUGCGAGAAGUACAGUUCGAGCAGGGUGGAAACACGGUCUUAGUGAUCCGACGGUGCUGUGUGGAAGGGCCGUCGCUCAACGGAUAAAAGUUACUCUAGGAUAACAGGCUGAUCUCCCCCAAGAGUUCACAUCGACGGGGAGGUUUGGCACCUCGAUGUCGGCUCAUCGCAACCUGGGGCGGAAGUACGUCCCAAGGGUUGGGCUGUUCGCCCAUUAAAGCGGUACGUGAGCUGGGUUCAGAACGUCGUGAGACAGUUCGGUCCAUAUCCGAUGUAGGCGUGAGAAUAUUGAGAGGAGCCUUCCUUAGUACGAGAGGACCGGGAAGGACGCACCGCUGGUGUACCUGUUAUGAUGCCAAUUGUAAACGCAGGGUAGCCAAGUGCGGAGAGGAUAACCGCUGAAAGCAUCUAAGUGGGAAGCCCACCUCAAGAUGAGUAUUCUGGUGUAAGGUCACGGGAAGACGACCCGUAAAUAGGCACGAGGUGGAAGUGCAGAGAUGUAUGAAGCCGAAGUGUACUAAUAGACCGUCGGCUUGAU